This 467-nucleotide ribosomal RNA is filed under the name uncultured bacterium. RNAcentral describes it as "partial 16S ribosomal RNA". It matches the Rfam family "Bacterial small subunit ribosomal RNA", at positions 29 to 507 of the family's 1533-position model. The record is from RNAcentral.
ACGAACGCUGGCGGCGUGCUUAACACAUGCAAGUCGAACGGAAAGGCCCUGCUUUUGUGGGGUGCUCGAGUGGCGAACGGGUGAGUAACACGUGAGUAACCUGCCCUUGACUUUGGGAUAACUUCAGGAAACUGGGGCUAAUACCGGAUAGGAGCUCCUGCUGCAUGGUGGGGGUUGGAAAGUUUCGGCGGUUGGGGAUGGACUCGCGGCUUAUCAGCUUGUCGGUGGGGUAGUGGCUUACCAAGGCUUUGACGGGUAGCCGGCCUGAGAGGGUGACCGGCCACAUUGGGACUGAGAUACGGCCCAGACUCCUACGGGAGGCAGCAGUGGGGAAUAUUGCACAAUGGGCGGAAGCCUGAUGCAGCAACGCCGCGUGCGGGAUGACGGCCUUCGGGUUGUAAACCGCUUUCGCCUGUGACGAAGCGUGAGUGACGGUAAUGGGUAAAGAAGCACCGGCUAACUACGUG